AAUAUCUGAGAGAUAUCAUAUGCACAAUAAUCAAGUACAGUGUAUCAAAUAUCGAAUGGUGACUGCGUUUUGCGGUACGGGAGAAGUGCGGUGUGGUUCAAAUAGUAACAAAAAUAUAUAGAUAUAUAUGUAUAUGCAGAGAUUUUGAUACUGUUACAGCACUGUUGCGGUGCGGUUUUGGGUGCGAUUUUGGUUACCAUUCACAGCAUAUGUAUAUUCAACUGCAGACACUAUUAUCAGAUGUCAUUUCUAACAAAAAAGUAAAGAUAAACAGAAAGAAUCACUUGGUGAUCAUAUUAUAUUACUCCUUCUACUACCAAAGAAGAAAUAAACAGUUACUACCAAAAACAAAAGUUUAAAAGAAAAUUGAAGCUAGGUGCAC
This 382-nucleotide small RNA is filed under the name Arabidopsis thaliana (thale cress). RNAcentral describes it as "ATSL068220". The record is from RNAcentral. Lineage: Eukaryota; Viridiplantae; Streptophyta; Magnoliopsida; Brassicales; Brassicaceae.